This 253-nucleotide ribosomal RNA is filed under the name uncultured bacterium. RNAcentral's name for it is "partial 16S ribosomal RNA". It matches the Rfam family "Bacterial small subunit ribosomal RNA", at positions 524 to 776 of the family's 1533-position model. The record is from RNAcentral.
UACGGGGGGGGUAAGCGUUGUUCGGAAUUACUGGGCGUAAAGGGCUCGUAGGCGGCCAACUAAGUCAGACGUGAAAUCCCUCAGCUUAACUGGGGAACUGCGUCUGAUACUGGAUGGCUUGGAUUUGGGAGAGGGAUGUGGAAUUCCAGGUGUAGCGGUGAAAUGCGUAGAUAUCUGGAGGAACACCGGUGGCGAAGGCGGCAUCCUGGACCAAUAUUGACGCUGAGGAGCGAAAGCCAGGGGAGCAAACGGG